Molecule: long non-coding RNA, 1106 nt
Filed under: Mus spicilegus (steppe mouse)
Lineage: Eukaryota; Metazoa; Chordata; Mammalia; Rodentia; Muridae
Description: lncRNA (ENSMSIG00000003866.1)
Source: RNAcentral
GAUAGAUUAUGAAUACAUACAUAUACAUGUGAAUGUGUAUGUACAUGUAUAUCUGUAUGUGUAAAAUGUAUAUGGUUUAUUAGAGUGGCUUACAGGUUGGGGUCUCGGUAGUCUAACAAUAUUUAUCUCCCAACCAAAAUGCCAAGAAUCUGGUUGUCAUUCAGCCCAUGAGAUGGAUGUCUCAGCAGCCCCAAUUUAGAAGAUUCCGAAAAAGUUGGUGGUCUUCAGUCUAUGUUAAAAUCCUGAAGAACUAGAUCUAAAGCCAGUGAAGGGCUACUUUAGCAGCAGGGCAGAUGAAGUUCCUAUCAAGAGUGAAGGCAAGCAGGAGAAAAGGAAACGCUUUCUUCUUUCAUUUCCUCUUAUGUGAGCUUCCACCAGUCCCAGAUUUAGAGUGUAUGCAUUUUGCUACCUCAAAAGUGUCAAGCAAAAAACCCCAUCAUAGCACUACUCAGAUGCUUGUUUGUUAGUUUCUUCCAGAAGUUGACAACCAACAUCAGCCAGCACAAGACUCAUUUCAGUGUUCUAGGAAUCUUGGGUGCAGCUGCUCAAGGUGUAGAGUGAGCAGCACUUCUGUGCAUCUCCUAGACAAGGUGAUGCAGCUCCUUCCGACCAAGAAAUGGGUGGUGUUCAUCUGAUAGAAUUCCUUAUAAGACUGCUGCUGGCCCACAGGUCCAUGUACACCAGUACCUAAGGCCAAGAUGGAAGGACAUUUCUCAAAAUAUAAUAGCUUCAAUAUGGAAGAAACCAGGAGAAGUCUGAGACAUCCACAUACCCAAAUCUUUCAAUUGUCUCUUCAGCUUAGGAGCUGGGCUCAUGGACAGUGGCAGUUUGAUGCUCCAAACUAGGAUCAUGCACCAGAUGGACAUUAAAACUGAAAGAUCAAAGAAUGACAUCACUGAAGCUCAAGGUCCAGCAGUGCAAGGCCAGGUGGAUGCCAGAAGGAUGAAGUUAAUGAGAUAUUUUGCUGCUACCAAGCAAGAAGACCAGAGUAAAACUAGAUCCACGUGAAGAAGACUUCUAUCAGCUGGCUGCAAUUUUCCUGGAUUAUCCCAAAAAGCCUGCUUAAAUCCACCUCAUAUUACCACACAAAUCCAUGUUUGUCUGUG